RNAcentral lists this ribosomal RNA (495 nucleotides) under uncultured bacterium. RNAcentral describes it as "partial 16S ribosomal RNA". It matches the Rfam family "Bacterial small subunit ribosomal RNA", at positions 30 to 507 of the family's 1533-position model. The record is from RNAcentral.
CGAACGCUGGCGGCGUGCCUAAUACAUGCAAGUUGAGCGCUGAAGGUUGGUACUUGUACCAACUGGAUGAGCAGCGAACGGGUGAGUAACGCGUGGGGAAUCUGCCUUUGAGCGGGGGACAACAUUUGGAAACGAAUGCUAAUACCGCAUAAAAACUUUAAACACAAGUUUUAAGUUUGAAGGAUGCAAUUGCAUCACUCAAAGAUGAUCCCGCGUUGUAUUAGCUAGUUGGUGAGGUAAAGGCUCACCAAGGCGAUGAUACAUAGCCGACCUGAGAGGGUGAUCGGCCACAUUGGGACUGAGACACGGCCCAAACUCCUACGGGAGGCAGCAGUAGGGAAUCUUCGGCAAUGGACGAAAGUCUGACCGAGCAACGCCGCGUGAGUGAAGAAGGUUUUCGGAUCGUAAAACUCUGUUGGUAGAGAAGAACGUUGGUGAGAGUGGAAAGCUCAUCAAGUGACGGUAACUACCCAGAAAGGGACGGCUAACUACGUG